GGGGGGGGGUGGUGGUGUUUCUUUGGUGACCCUGACAAAGACAAAGAUCCCCAAACGUAGCCUCUUAACAGACUGUAGGGGCAGGUGCUGUUGGCAGCGAGUGGCAGCAGCGCCCGUGAAAGCUUACCGGCACUGUUGGCACACCCAUCCGCCUUUGUCUCCCCGGUAACGUCUCGGCCUCGGGCGAGUACCUGGGUGUGGGCCCGGGUACUCAUUUGAGGCCGGGUCGACCUAGGGGAGGCCCAGGACCGGAAUCGAACUCGGGACGUAGCCGUCAGCUCAGCCGCUAACCGCUUGCCCUGAGCACAGAGGGGGUGUUUCGGCAACAACCACCAGUUAUCAUCGUCAUCGUCAUCGUCCGCGGUGAAUGCCGAUCGGAUGCGGG
Molecule: non-coding RNA, 385 nt
Organism: Petromyzon marinus (sea lamprey)
Lineage: Eukaryota; Metazoa; Chordata; Hyperoartia; Petromyzontiformes; Petromyzontidae
Source: RefSeq, a predicted model, not a curated record